CUUGCGGACAAGGCUUGUUGAUUACUCACCAGCCACCAUGUCGUCUGGACCCUUUUUACAGAUGUUGGUGGACUCAGCUGACAAAAACACAGGACUCCCCUCCGGUCUUUCGGGAUCACCACGCAGGAUUCCUCCACCCCAGACAAGCAAGCUCACCAUGGAAUACCCACGCACACCCAAUACAGAGCCAGAAAGGGUGAGGAUGGAAACAGAUAUCACUUCCAAGUUGUGCCCAAGGAGACCUACUUCCUCCAAGACCCUUCUUUCUGAUACGACAUUCAGGUAAUGGCCCCAUCCAAUGUCUGUCCGCUGAUGAACUUAGCACCCG
RNAcentral lists this long non-coding RNA (328 nucleotides) under Fukomys damarensis (Damara mole-rat). RNAcentral describes it as "lncRNA (ENSFDAG00000031669.1)". The record is from RNAcentral. Lineage: Eukaryota; Metazoa; Chordata; Mammalia; Rodentia; Bathyergidae.